This 549-nucleotide ribosomal RNA is filed under the name Candida tropicalis. Its description in RNAcentral is "eukaryotic LSU rRNA". It matches the Rfam family "Eukaryotic large subunit ribosomal RNA", at positions 92 to 655 of the family's 3401-position model. The record is from RNAcentral. Lineage: Eukaryota; Fungi; Ascomycota; Pichiomycetes; Serinales; Debaryomycetaceae.
AGUGAAGCGGCAAAAGCUUCAAAUUUUGAAAUCUGGCUCUUUCAGAGUCCGAGUUGUAAUUUGAAGAAGGUAUCUUUGGGUCUGGCUCUUGUCUAUGUUUCUUGGAACAGAACGUCACAGAGGGUGAGAAUCCCGUGCGAUGAGAUGAUCCAGGCCUAUGUAAAGUUCCUUCGAAGAGUCGAGUUGUUUGGGAAUGCAGCUCUAAGUGGGUGGUAAAUUCCAUCUAAAGCUAAAUAUUGGCGAGAGACCGAUAGCGAACAAGUACAGUGAUGGAAAGAUGAAAAGAACUUUGAAAAGAGAGUGAAAAAGUACGUGAAAUUGUUGAAAGGGAAGGGCUUGAGAUCAGACUUGGUAUUUUGUAUGUUACUUCUUCGGGGGUGGCCUCUACAGUUUAUCGGGCCAGCAUCAGUUUGGGCGGUAGGAGAAUUGCGUUGGAAUGUGGCACGGCUUCGGUUGUGUGUUAUAGCCUUCGUCGAUACUGCCAGCCUAGACUGAGGACUGCGGUUUAUACCUAGGAUGUUGGCAUAAUGAUCUUAAGUCGCCCGUCUG